UCCUGUGUGUGUUUUGAAUUGCGUUUUAAAAUUGCCCAGCUGGAGACAAGGCUUGAUUAGAGCUGGAACAAUAGCUCCCUUUUAUUAAUAACGGGAAGGAUUUACAAUCGUACAUCACCUUCCUUGGAAAGCUUUCCAAACCAUUUGCAAACAUUCACAAAUUUCAGAUUGUGCAGCCUUUGGCUGUGAGGUGGUGCUGGAAUCUGCAUUGGCAGGUGUGCGAAUGUGGAGACUGUAACAGCAGAGAGUGAGGAUGGAUGAGCUGUUUUCUGGGGUCACAUCCAACUCCAGAAAAGAAACCCUGGUGAUUUAUAAUUUUUUUCUUGUCUCUGCUUGGAAGGCCAUAGUCCUGUCUAGUGAUAAAAGCCCUGUGUUUGGGGAGAGCCCUUGUGAGGUGAGCAGACACAGCAUCUGGCACGUGGUUGUAUAGGAGUUUGGGGGCAAGGGGAAGCAGGGCAGAAGCUGGCACUGUGAUAUUCCUAUUUUUUCCCAACAACAGGCAAU
Non-coding RNA from Sturnus vulgaris (Common starling), 504 nucleotides. Lineage: Eukaryota; Metazoa; Chordata; Aves; Passeriformes; Sturnidae. The record is from RefSeq and is a predicted model, not a curated record.